This 497-nucleotide ribosomal RNA is filed under the name uncultured bacterium. RNAcentral's name for it is "partial 16S ribosomal RNA". It matches the Rfam family "Bacterial small subunit ribosomal RNA", at positions 28 to 507 of the family's 1533-position model. The record is from RNAcentral.
GAUGAACGCUGGCGGCGUGCCUAAUACAUGCGAGUCGAGCGAACAGACGAGGAGCUUGCUCCUCUGACGUUAGCGGCGGACGGGUGAGUAACACGUGGAUAACCUACCUAUAAGACUGGGAUAACUUCGGGAAACCGGAGCUAAUACCGGAUAAUAUAUUGAACCGCAUGGUUCAAUAGUGAAAGACGGUUUUGCUGUCACUUAUAGAUGGAUCCGCGCCGCAUUAGCUAGUUGGUAAGGUAACGGCUUACCAAGGCAACGAUGCGUAGCCGACCUGGGAGGGUGAUCGGCCACACUGGAACUGAGACACGGUCCAGACUCCUACGGGAGGCAGCAGUAGGGAAUCUUCCGCAAUGGGCGAAAGCUUGACGGAGCAACGCCGCGUGAGUGAUGAAGGUCUUCGGAUCGUAAAACUCUGUUAUUAGGGAAGAACAAAUGUGUAAGUAACUAUGCACGUCUUGACGGUACCUAAUCAGAAAGCCACGGCUAACUACGUG